ACCCCUGUGGCGCAGAGGACAGCGCAUUGGGCUUCUAACCCAAAGGUCGUGGGUUCGACCCCCACCAGGGGUG
This is a non-coding RNA of Trichuris trichiura (human whipworm), 73 nucleotides long. Lineage: Eukaryota; Metazoa; Nematoda; Enoplea; Trichinellida; Trichuridae. The record is from Rfam.